This 487-nucleotide ribosomal RNA is filed under the name uncultured bacterium. RNAcentral's name for it is "bacterial SSU rRNA". It matches the Rfam family "Bacterial small subunit ribosomal RNA", at positions 30 to 507 of the family's 1533-position model. The record is from RNAcentral.
AUUGAACGCUGGCGGCAUGCCUUAUACAUGCAAGUCGAACGGUAACAGGGAGCUUGCUCCGCUGACGAGUGGCGAACGGGUGAGUAAUGUAUCGGAACGUACCAUUCAGUGGGGGAUAACGUAGCGAAAGUUACGCUAAUACCGCAUAUUCUGUGAGCAGGAAAGCAGGGGAUCGCAAGACCUUGCGCUGAUUGAGCGGCCGAUAUCAGAUUAGCUAGUUGGUGAGGUAAAGGCUCACCAAGGCGACGAUCUGUAGCGGGUCUGAGAGGAUGAUCCGCCACACUGGAACUGAGACACGGUCCAGACUCCUACGGGAGGCAGCAGUGGGGAAUUUUGGACAAUGGGGGCAACCCUGAUCCAGCCAUGCCGCGUGAGUGAAGAAGGCCUCGGUUGUAAGUACCUUUCGGUCCGGGAAAAAGUACGCGAUCAGUUAAUAACCUGGUGUGGAUGAUGGUACCGGAAGUAAGAAGCACCGGCUAACUACGUG